Non-coding RNA from Paramuricea clavata, 300 nucleotides. Lineage: Eukaryota; Metazoa; Cnidaria; Anthozoa; Malacalcyonacea; Plexauridae. The record is from the annotation of a GenBank genome assembly.
UCCGGAUGCAAAUCUAUGACUUUCAUUCCCAUGGGCCGGCCUUAUCGUGAUGAGCCUCAUUUUUGUUGUUAGGGGCCAUUCACAAAGUAUGUGAGGCUCGUGGGGGUAAGGUGUUUGAUAAGCAGUCACAUACCGUAAACCUCCGACUAUAAGCCCCCCAAAUAUAACUAAGCACCCCGAAUAUAAGCCCACCACAUAUACUAAUACUUACCUCAUUCCAAAUAUAAGCCCCCCCCCCCGAAUAUAAGCCCACCCGAAUAUAAGCCCCCCAAAUAUAAGUUCCCCCGCGGAAUAUAAGCC